RNAcentral lists this ribosomal RNA (778 nucleotides) under uncultured Neocallimastigales. RNAcentral's name for it is "partial large subunit ribosomal RNA". It matches the Rfam family "Eukaryotic large subunit ribosomal RNA", at positions 23 to 639 of the family's 3401-position model. Lineage: Eukaryota; Fungi; Neocallimastigomycota; Neocallimastigomycetes; Neocallimastigales. The record is from RNAcentral.
AGAGAGAGACAUGCGCGCAUAUCAAUAAGCGGAGGAAAAGAAACUAACUAGGAUUCCCCUCAGUAACGGCGAGUGAAGCGGGAAGAGCUCAAAUUUGAAAUCUUCAAGGGUUCUACCUUUACGAAUUGUAGUUUAAAGAAGUGUUUUCUGUUGAGGUUUUGGUAAAAGUUCUUUGGAAUAGGACAUCAUAGAGGGUGAGAAUCCCGUAUUUGACCAUUACUUUCCAACUUUGUGAUACACUUUCAAAGAGUCGGAUUGUUUGGGAAUGCAGUCCAAAAUGGGUGGUAAAUUUCAUCUAAAGCUAAAUAUUGGCGAGAGACCGAUAGCGAACAAGUACCGUGAGGGAAAGAUGAAAAGAACUUUGAAAAGAGAGUUAAACAGUACGUGAAAUUGUCAAAAGGGAAGCGUUUGACACCAGUGUUGUUUUCUCGAAAAUCAAUUAAAAAAGGCAGGAUUUUGUGUUGUAUUGACUUUAUCAGCUUUCUGCACUCUUUUCUUGUCUUUUUUAAUGCACUUUUCGUUUAACAAGUCAACAUCAAUUUCUUUUGUUGUAAAAGGGUCAUUGGAAGGUGGCUUUCUUUUCGGAGAAAGUGUUUAUAGCCUUUGGCCUCUGCAAUCGGAGAGAUUGAGGUCUGCAGCGUAGAUCCUUCGGGGUUAGAUACAUUUGUGCUAAGAUUAUAGCCUUUCAUAGACAACUUGUUGACUAUGAUCAGUCAUGUAGCUUACUCGCUUAUGCUAUUUUACCUACGCUUAGGAUGUUGAUGUGAUACUGCGAGCA